RNAcentral lists this ribosomal RNA (666 nucleotides) under Coralliogalathea humilis. RNAcentral describes it as "partial 28S ribosomal RNA". It matches the Rfam family "Eukaryotic large subunit ribosomal RNA", at positions 685 to 1138 of the family's 3401-position model. Lineage: Eukaryota; Metazoa; Arthropoda; Malacostraca; Decapoda; Galatheidae. The record is from RNAcentral.
UGCAAGUCAAUGGGCAUUUGUCUAAACCCAUAGGCGAAAUGAAAGUGAGCGAGGGCGCACUGUGCGCCCUCUAGGGCUGAUCCCCGACCCAAGUCGUGGGUGCUAAGUGUCAUGCAGAAGUGUACUGAGGUGAGCUACUUUCCCUCCGGUAUAACCUGUUGGCAUGAACCACUUGUUCCCCUUCCGGGGGGACGAACACGACGCUUUGGGUCUAAACUCGUGCAAAUGGGGGGGCGCAAGCCCGGGACGUGUCAAGACGCGGCUGCUCGCACCGGCUCCGGCCGGCUGCUUGCGGUCUGUAGUCGACAUGUACCUUGAGCAGACAUGUUAGUACCCGAAAGAUGGUGAACUAUGCCUGGCCAGGAUGAAGCCAGAGGAAACUCUGGUGGAGGUCCGAAGCAAUUCUGACGUGCAAAUCGAUUGUCAGAGCUGGGCAUAGGGGCGAAAGACUAAUCGAACCAUCUAGUAGCUGGUUCCCUCCGAAGUUUCCCUCAGGAUAGCUGGGACUCGUUUACGGAUUAACACCCGGUAAAGCGAAUGAUUAGAGGUUUUGGGGACGGAACGUCCUCAACCUAUUCUCAAACUUUAAAUGGGUGAGAAGCCAAGCUUGCUUAACUGAAGCUUUGGUCUUUUCUGUUUAAUCUGAGAGCCUAGUGGGCCAAUUUU